RNAcentral lists this ribosomal RNA (342 nucleotides) under Triticum aestivum (bread wheat). RNAcentral describes it as "partial small subunit ribosomal RNA". The record is from RNAcentral. Lineage: Eukaryota; Viridiplantae; Streptophyta; Magnoliopsida; Poales; Poaceae.
AUGCUUGUACCGCAGGGCAUCAACAUGAAGGAGAUCACGACGAAGAAGAAGAAGAUGAAGAAGCCGUCGGUUGUCUUCAGUGCUGGCGAGACCGAUGAGGAGGCGAUGACGAGGUUUGCUCGGGAGCAUCCGGAGUGCGUCCAGGCCGAGCUGGAGUACUACUGGAAGCGUGAGGCGGAGAAGAAGAAGAAGGGGCCGAAGGAGGAUGAGGCCGGUCCCUCGACGGUGAUCCCCAUCGAGUCCUCUUCCGAGGAGGACUGGGCAGACUUCUCAGAAGAGGAGGGGUGCGACGACUCGACAAAGGAGAAGUUCUGGGAGCAAUUCCGUAGCUCCAAUGAGUAG